UACGAAGGGGGCUAGCGUUGCUCGGAAUCACUGGGCGUAAAGCGCACGUAGGCGGAUUGUUAAGUCAGGGGUGAAAUCCUGGAGCUCAACUCCAGAACUGCCUUUGAUACUGGCGAUCUUGAGUCCGGGAGAGGUGAGUGGAACUGCGAGUGUAGAGGUGAAAUUCGUAGAUAUUCGCAAGAACACCAGUGGCGAAGGCGGCUCACUGGCCCGGUACUGACGCUGAGGUGCGAAAGCGUGGGGGAGCAAACAGG
This 254-nucleotide ribosomal RNA is filed under the name uncultured bacterium. RNAcentral describes it as "partial 16S ribosomal RNA". It matches the Rfam family "Bacterial small subunit ribosomal RNA", at positions 524 to 776 of the family's 1533-position model. The record is from RNAcentral.